GUUUUUAUAGUUAAAAAAAAAUAUUGGUCUUGUAAAUCAAAGUUAAGAACUAAUCUUUAAAAACU
This 65-nucleotide transfer RNA is filed under the name Gabala argentata. RNAcentral's name for it is "tRNA-Thr". It matches the Rfam family "tRNA". From Rfam's summary of the family: Transfer RNA (tRNA) molecules are approximately 80 nucleotides in length. Lineage: Eukaryota; Metazoa; Arthropoda; Insecta; Lepidoptera; Nolidae. The record is from RNAcentral.